RNAcentral lists this long non-coding RNA (3123 nucleotides) under Hordeum vulgare. Its description in RNAcentral is "long non-coding RNA (HVUL_LNC014746)". The record is from RNAcentral. Lineage: Eukaryota; Viridiplantae; Streptophyta; Magnoliopsida; Poales; Poaceae.
AAGGAGACAAGUAGCAGCAGCGCCCCAAAUCGAGGGAGGGAGGAUCCUCUCAGGUGAUAUUUUAUCUCUCAAAUGUGAUGUCCCAUCUCUUGGUUAGUUGCUUUGUUUGGAUGAUUUCUGGCCUUGAUGUGUGCUGCGAUUUACGAGUAUUUGGUAGUAUGAACUGUAGAAUAGGGAAUAGAUCUGGGGUGAUGGGUUUAACAACCACAGGAGAUAGAUGGUGCCUUUGUGCAGUACUAGGAAUCAAAAGGAUCUGGGUGGGAAUGGUGACGAGGCAACACAACGAUUUCAUGUGUUCGUUAUAACUUUAGAUAGUCUAAACACCAUUUUUUAUGAACUACGAUGGAUCAUAAAGCUACUAACAUUAUAACAAUUGGCUUUAUCUGAUAAAAAAUUGCAGUCAACUAACAAAUGGAUGGUAAGACCAGGAGAAUAUAACUGAAGAAAUCUAUAGCAUUUUAACUGAAGGACAAACUGACUUAUCUUCAGUUAAGUGGCAUAUUAACUUUUCAUCAGUGAGGUACAACAUUCUCUACAUACGGUGCUUUUUUCUUGAGUAUACCAGUUCAAUAAUGAACGAUUAAUUCACUAUAUGAAUUGAUUUCAGUUUUGUACAUGUCUGCAUCAUACUUAAUGUUAAUUCCCUAUUAAAUUAGCAAGAUUUAGGAAGUCAUUUUUUUGCAGGUCAAAAAAGCAAGAUUUAGAUGAUAUUUCGCAACAAUGUCAAUGUUAGAUUCUGAUUCACCAACAGUGCUCUUUAGGUUACAAAGGAUUUGAAUUGAGCGAUUCAACUCUGCCUUCAUCAGUACAAACAAUUCAUAAAAGAGGUUCAGUCUCUUCUUUAUUAUCUAGGUGCAUUAAUACUAUGUAUGAUACUAACUGAGUACAGUUGCCUGCAGUAUGCAUUGCUCUACUUUGGAUCCUUUUUCUUACUUUAUACUUCCUUUGCUCUCUGUUGUGUUUGCAGAUGAAUUGGACUAAUCUACUCAGCAUCUCAUGACUUUAGAAGCACGAGUUCAUGAAAACUGAUAUCCACUAGGAUUGCUCUGCUCCUGUUGACAUGCGAGAGCUGUUUGAAGCGAACUGGAUGGUUGUCACCACUGAUUAAGCUGCCGAGCCCAAGAAUUGUGUCAGACUAUUGGCCAAGCUGUUCAAUUUCUCAACACCGUUCAGUUUUGUCAUUGGCCGCCCUUGCGUACACUCAACAGAGAAGGGUAUCUAUCCUCAAUUUCCUACUCUAGAUAACAUCCACUCAUAUAAUUGAUCUCUAAUAUCCUGUACAAAACGUUAGUGGUGGCUCGACAAUUUAAUAAGCCAGAUUUGUGGGAAGUGGAAUGCAUGUGUAACCAAACUGGGCUGGACCAAUCUUGAGGUUUUCCACGAAUUCUUUUAAAAAUGGUUCUUAAGCAAGGCACUGGGAAAUCGUGGAUAGCUGAUAUAUCCAGCAGGUAUGUGCACAUUCUGCUAUAAUCUAGAGUAGGGAGUGCUCAGCAUAAAUUGUGAGAUCUGAGCUGGUACAUAAAAUAAACCAAGAUAGUCUUGUCUUACGUGCGGAUGAUUUUAUUAUGGCAUACUGUUCAGCAUAAUUCUGACUCUAGAAUGUCUGUAUUAGCCAUUUGAUGAGUCAACUAGAAACUUCAUAGGUUUUUAGUACUCCAGUUAUGUUGUCAUUUGUAUAUCUCCAGAUAUAAACUUCAUAAAUUUAUAUCGUGAAUCAUUUUUAUGCUGCUACAUUUCUAGCAGAAGUUGUAUCUCUUUCCCACAAAGCGUGAUAAUGUGCAUUGCACUUGUACUGCUCUAUCUUAUUGUUAUAUUUGCAUUUGCCAUUACUUUCAUAGUCUAUAUUUUGGCUCUGAACUAAACCAUAUCAUUGCUUGCGUGCACCUAUACGACACAUAUCACAUAAAACUAAUUAGAGGGGAUGCAUUCCCACCUGGCAACGCCCAGCUAUCUCUCAGGAGGCCCGCAAUGGCGGGCCCCAACCACUAGUUUGCAUGAACCAGUAGUAGUAGUACAAUACAAACCGCAAACAAACCGAAGAAGCGUGCACCAUAAGCAUCCAAAAGUCAAAACUUAGACCCAAAUCUGGCCGCACCCACCAAACGCCAGAGAUGAUCUCGAUAUGCUACUGGCCUAAACACGGUACCACAAUCGUACAAUCUGGUACAAUAACCUACUACUACUAAGACCUAAAAGAAUUGAAAUAUUUUAUUUAGGCGAUAAAAGAAUCGAACUUGUUCUCAGUUCUCACAUGAGAAAGGAGUUUGUGGGGCCGUAUGCAUGAGACCGGAGGUAAUCCUCCUUUUGAAAAAAGGAAAACAUGAGAAGCAUGAGAAUUGAGAAGCAGAGAGAAGAUGUACGCAUAGUACCAAAUCAACGGGAAGCUGCUGGCCCGAACGGCAAGAACACUCGUUUAGAAGAGAAGAGCAAGAAGAACCGGCGUCCGGCAAGAAGACGAUACGCACAGAAUCUACUCCGGAUGGCGUACCGGGGAUUGGAGUUGGAGAGCCGUGCGCCGAUUCCGCCGUGACGGUUUCAAAAGUUGAAGAACAGGGAAAAGUUGUACUACGUUUAAUGGACUUAACUGCAUGCAGCAGAAGUUGUUGUGGUAAGCGAGCAGUAACUACGGUACAGCAGGCAAGUAGGCAGGGAACAAGAACUCACCCGCAAAUACUAGAAAACCACAAGAAGAAGAAGACUAGUAGUUUGCCUAAUUUCUCAUGUGUUUACCAUCCUGUAGCAAAGUUGCGCUUCCUGGUUCUUCUCAGUCCCAAAAUUCAUGCAAAUCAAUGACCUGUUCCGAUAGUGUAUUUACCGGACUUUAAUGAUCAUUAACUUGUCUUUUUGCCAUAUGGUGUUUAUCUAAUUUACUGAUACGAAAAUGAGUAAUUGUGAUGAACCUCUUAGCCUAAUUAUUGUUUCUUCUGACUAGCUACCGGUGGCGCUGGAUGUGGUCGCCUACUUUGUCGCACAACUCCUUUGACCAUCACGUACAACCCAACAUGGGUGUUGCAGGUUGCUCUCUCUCUCUAUCUCUCAUAUUUUCAAGGUCAUUUCUCUUCAUAAUAUUUACCUCUCAUGGUAGUUGCUUCUUUGUUUAAUAGUUAUCUAUCUACUCCCUCC